ACAUGCAGUCGUACGCUUCUUUUUCCACCGGAGCUUGCUCCACCGGAAAAAGAGGAGUGGCGAACGGGUGAGUAACACGUGGGUAACCUGCCCAUCAGAAGGGGAUAACACUUGGAAACAGGUGCUAAUACCGUAUAACAAUCGAAACCGCAUGGUUUUGAUUUGAAAGGCGCUUUCGGGUGUCGCUGAUGGAUGGACCCGCGGUGCAUUAGCUAGUUGGUGAGGUAACGGCUCACCAAGGCCACGAUGCAUAGCCGACCUGAGAGGGUGAUCGGCCACAUUGGGACUGAGACACGGCCCAAACUCCUACGGGAGGCAGCAGUAGGGAAUCUUCGGCAAUGGACGAAAGUCUGACCGAGCAACGCCGCGUGAGUGAAGAAGGUUUUCGGAUCGUAAAACUCUGUUGUUAGAGAAGAAUAAGGAUGAGAGUAACUGUUCAUCCCUUGACGGUAUCUAACCAGAAAGCCACGGCUAACUACGUGCCAGCAGCCGCGGUAAUACGUAGGUGGCAAGCGUUGUCCGGAUUUAUUGGGCGUAAAGCGAGCGCAGGCGGUUUCUUAAGUCUGAUGUGAAAGCCCCCGGCUCAACCGGGGAGGGUCAUUGGAAACUGGGAGACUUGAGUGCAGAAGAGGAGAGUGGAAUUCCAUGUGUAGCGGUGAAAUGCGUAGAUAUAUGGAGGAACACCAGUGGCGAAGGCGGCUCUCUGGUCUGUAACUGACGCUGAGGCUCGAAAGCGUGGGGAGCAAACAGGAUUAGAUACCCUGGUAGUCCACGCCGUAAACGAUGAGUGCUAAGUGUUGGAGGGUUUCCGCCCUUCAGUGCUGCAGCUAACGCAUUAAGCACUCCGCCUGGGGAGUACGACCGCAAGGUUGAAACUCCAA
Molecule: ribosomal RNA, 881 nt
Filed under: Enterococcus faecium
Lineage: Bacteria; Bacillati; Bacillota; Bacilli; Lactobacillales; Enterococcaceae
Description: bacterial SSU rRNA
Rfam family: Bacterial small subunit ribosomal RNA
Source: RNAcentral